RNAcentral lists this ribosomal RNA (503 nucleotides) under uncultured Bacillus sp. RNAcentral's name for it is "bacterial SSU rRNA". It matches the Rfam family "Bacterial small subunit ribosomal RNA", at positions 380 to 874 of the family's 1533-position model. The record is from RNAcentral. Lineage: Bacteria; Bacillati; Bacillota; Bacilli; Caryophanales; Bacillaceae.
AGUCUGACGGAGCAACGCCGCGUGAACGAUGAAGGCUUUCGGGUCGUAAAGUUCUGUUGUUAGGGAAGAACAAGUACCGGAGUAACUGCCGGUACCUUGACGGUACCUAACCAGAAAGCCACGGCUAACUACGUGCCAGCAGCCGCGGUAAUACGUAGGUGGCAAGCGUUGUCCGGAAUUAUUGGGCGUAAAGCGCGCGCAGGCGGUUCCUUAAGUCUGAUGUGAAAGCCCCCGGCUCAACCGGGGAGGGUCAUUGGAAACUGGGGAACUUGAGUGCAGAAGAGGAGAGCGGAAUUCCACGUGUAGCGGUGAAAUGCGUAGAGAUGUGGAGGAACACCAGUGGCGAAGGCGGCUCUCUGGUCUGUAACUGACGCUGAGGCGCGAAAGCGUGGGGAGCGAACAGGAUUAGAUACCCUGGUAGUCCACGCCGUAAACGAUGAGUGCUAAGUGUUAGAGGGUUUCCGCCCUUUAGUGCUGCAGCAAACGCAUUAAGCACUCCGCCU